RNAcentral lists this ribosomal RNA (561 nucleotides) under uncultured bacterium. RNAcentral's name for it is "partial 16S ribosomal RNA". It matches the Rfam family "Bacterial small subunit ribosomal RNA", at positions 355 to 1376 of the family's 1533-position model. The record is from RNAcentral.
UAGGGAAUCUUGCGCAAUGGGCGAAAGCCUGACGCAGCCAUGCCGCGUGAAUGAUGAAGGUCUUAGGAUUGUAAAAUUCUUUCACCGGGGAAGAUAAUGACGGUACCCGGAGAAGAAGCCCCGGCUAACUUCGUGCCAGCAGCCGCGGUAAUACGAAGGGGGCUAGCGUUGCUCGGAAUUACUGGGCGUAAAGGGCGCGUAGGCGGAUAUUUAAGUUGGGGGUGAAAGCCCGGGGCUCAACCUCGGAAUAGCCUUCAAUACUGGAUAUCUUGAGUUCGGGAGAGGUGAGUGGAAUGCCGAGUGUAGAGGUGAAAUUCGUAGAUAUUCGGCGGAACACCAGUGGCGAAGGCGACUCACUGGCCCGAUACUGACGCUGAGGCGCGAAAGCGUGGGGAGCAAACAGGAUUAGAUACCCUGGUAGUCCACGCCGUAAACGAUGAGUGCUAGUUGUCGGCAUGCAUGCAUGUCGGUGACGCAGCUAACGCAUUAAGCACUCCGCCUGGGGAGUACGGUCGCAAGAUUAAAACUCAAAUGAAUUGACGGGGUCAUAGCUGUUUCCUG